AUCCAGCUGACGAGUCUCAAAUAGGACUAAACGUGAAUCCUGGAU
This is a non-coding RNA of Schistosoma mansoni, 45 nucleotides long. NCBI's taxonomy places the organism in Eukaryota, Metazoa, Platyhelminthes, Trematoda, Strigeidida, Schistosomatidae. The record is from Rfam.